Non-coding RNA from Leptonychotes weddellii (Weddell seal), 3657 nucleotides. The record is from RefSeq and is a predicted model, not a curated record. Lineage: Eukaryota; Metazoa; Chordata; Mammalia; Carnivora; Phocidae.
AUCUCGGUUGGAUAGGGGGACAGAAACAUGUCGUUAAGGUGUCGAAAUGAGCCCUGUAGGUGUGGGCCGUUCCCUAAGUUUGUGGUUUCCGAUUUUCAAAGGGGCGGACUUCUUAUUGGCUAUGGGAUCAAGUUCCUGAAACUGGUCUUCUAUACCUUGAAAAAUGUCUUCGUGAAAGGAGGCGCCAAGGAGCUUAAGUGUAAUUCUCACACAGUAGAGACCAUGACGAAGGUUCCUCGGGGGUUUGAUUUCAGUUUCUUAAAUGACGAAGAAGCCAGGAAGAUCCUUCAGGUGCUGGAAAGAAACGAGGAGCUACAGAGGGCAGAGAAGGACAGGAUCAGCAAACUCCAGAAGACAAAGAGGGAUAUCAGAUGGCUUCAGGGAGUGACUGGCGAAUGGUUUGAGGAAAUUCAAAGAAAAAAGUUCUGCAGUGAAACAGAUGUUAGCCAAAUGUUAAAACAACCACUUACAUACAGACUAAGGAAGGGGAUGGCAGAAAAUGAUCCCAUGGAAUUACAAACAUCAAGAUCUAAAACUACAGCUAAUCAAAGAAACCCAACAUCCAUUUCUUCUCGGCUGAGCUUCAGAUCGUCGUUUGCUUCCCUGUUCUCAUUCAGAAAAUCCAGAAAGGAGACUUUAAAGCUUCAGUCACUGGGACAGAAAGGGUGAGUUAAACUCGGAUCACGUCACACCUCUGAUGGCAGAGGUCGGUAGUCUGUUUUGUGUUCAGAAUGUUUAAUGUUUGUUCUCUGACUUUAAAUGCAGAUAGUCACAAAAGAAACAGGACUGAACUCGCAGAGGGACAAAGUCCUUCUGACACCACGAAACUUGGCUCUUUUGAAAGCCAACUUCUAACCAACUGCACAGAUCCCAGGUAGUGCACGCAGUGAUUAAUGGGUUAAAUGUUGGGAAAUGCUCAUUGACUUUCUCCACUGUUUCAAGAGCCUGGUCUAUGCUCUGGUCAGGAAGAUAUCUUCAAAUCAAAACUACUUUUUCCUUGGGGAUAUGUGUAUCUGUGGUCACAAGGAGAGAUGGGGUAGAAAGAUGAAAUGAAAGUAAACGAGAUGAGCAACGAGAGUAGAGAAAACUGGCAUUUUAAAAUUGAGGGGAUGAGGAUAUUACCGUGACUAGCAGUAUCCAGAACGGCUGUUCUGCUGUGGGGACCCAGAAUUUAAACUUAAGGUAAAGAAAGGGAAGCUUUUUGGAACAGGCAUCGUUCCAGAGAGUUCCCAGUGUAGAGCGGUGUAAAAAUCAGUUCAUCCUGACUCACAGGUUAUUGGAUUGUUUUGUGAAAAACAAGCAAGGCUUUGCUUACAUGCAGUUGGGCUGACUGCUAAAUAUUUUCAGCACGUCUUCCUGGUUGAAAAGCUUCCCACCCUCUUAAGGUGUUGGCCUCACACGUGACGUGAGCCAUCACACCAUUAAGAGUGCGUUGCUGCACUAAAUAGGAGGUGCUGGAGGUCACUCUUGCUGAAAACAGUAAGUGGCAUGCGGCUUGGUGGGGCGGGUGAUGAGGCUCCCGAACCUGGAGAACAGAACUCUGUCCUCCCCUCUCGGGUGGAUGGAAGGUGUUUUGCUCCCAGCUUUCACCUGAGCCUGCUUUUGUCUUUGCUGAAAUAAUGAAGAGCUGAACAGAAUGUAGAUUUAUGUGACUGUCCCUACCAGAGUCACUUGCAAGGAAGUACUCUGCAAAUAGGUGAGUUGCUUUUCUUUGUAAAAAUGUUUGAAACGCUAGUAAUCCUCUCGUUUGGAGAUUUAAAAUCGAAGGGUAUUUCCUGUGGAGGGAAUAUGUAUUUUAAGGACAAAAAAAAAUAUUCCUGAUGUGUGGUGAAGCUGGGACUUGUGAUGGAGUUUGUGUUUUAGGUGGUUUUCUUUAAGGCAGAGUUUUAUACAACUGAACAAUCUAACAUCAGUAAACCUGGAAAAGUUGAGGAACCUGUUCACUCUGUGGACAAGUUAUUUCCGAGCUCAUAUUGCAAGUCACUGCAAAAAUGGAUCAAAGAAGACAGCAAAAAUCUAGAAUCUUCCAUCUGGGUAUCAUGUUUUCUGGUUACAGAUCAAGAUGCAAAGCGCUUUGGUGGAUCCACCUUGCUGUUCUUCAGACAUGCCCAAAUUUGCCUGGCCCACGGGGUGUACACCGCUCCAGCUGCAACCCCAGGUUACGCAAGCAAGACAUUGAGCUACUGUUUUGGAAAAUUAAAAAGGCAGGUGAUAUUUUUUUUCCCCUGGAUUCUGGUCAUUCUCUUUUUCUCUCUCUCACUUGCUACACAUGCCACUCCCUGCAAAUGCCUGAGUUCAAAGACACAAAAAUCUUAGACUCCUCGAUGAAAGGAGAAGUCAGAGUCAGCGAGAUCCUCCUUUGGAAAUGCUCCUUCUGUGAACCCAGGUGCGGUCUCCACGGGCAGGGCUGUGAUGACAAGAAGAAGAGGCACGACAGGGGGAGUGGUCUGGAGUUUACCCUGGGUGGCCAGUGGUGUUCCCAGGUGACAGGGCUGAUCAUUAGUAUAAUCUCAUCAGCAAUUUAAAAAUAAUGACACUUGGCCCCGAAUCUGAGAUUCUGAUUCAGAAGGUCUGAAGUAGGGCACAGGGAACUUCAUUUAUUUGUUUAUUUUAAAUUCUCCAGGAUAUUCAGGUGCUCACCUGGCGGUUUGAAACCCCCGGCAGCCUUGCUUCGGGAAGGGCUGUCAGAACUCUCCGCAUGGGUGUUGUUAGCCCAGGUGAUAGUUUCGCUUUUGUUUAUUUAUCGAGCGUUUAUCAAAGUCUUACUCUGGAUCAGAUACUACUGUUCGUACUGAGGAUAAAAUUGUGAAAAUAAGGCACAGGCCCUUCCUGGAGAAAUCUGUAAUCCAGUGGGGAACAGCAGAGCAUUGCAUGUGGUUGGGCAGAGGUGCCCCACAGAACCCUGGGACGUGGCAGAACAUCAUGGCUUCAGGUAUUUCUUAUGGCAGUUUUCCGGCAAAUGACAGUAACUUGAGGAAGGGGUGCUCUGUGGGAUUCACACAGGGAUACCAUCUGGCCUCGCUGCGGCCAAGUACACUGGUGAUUAUGGUGUCAUAUGGUGAGUGCGAGGGAGGGUGCACGGUAUUCCAGCCUUGAGAACAUAUAGGAGAAGCACUUAACUCAGACUCGAGGACCAGAAGCCUUCCUGGAAGAGGAGAGACCAUUGUCAGAGGACAUACAGGACUAAGCUUGGUAAUUAAGAGUUGGGAGGUUGCACCAGGCAGAAAAACUGACACAGCCAAGGUGUGGAGACUGGAAAAAGCAAGAACUCAUCUAGGUCACUGAGGUUCAGUGACCCAGGAUAAGGUGAGACCAGUAAGAGAUGGAAUGGGAGAGGUUGGCAGAGGCCACUGGCAGUGCUAAGAAGCUUGGAUUUGAUCCCAUAGACAAUGGGAAAUCAUUCAUCACUUUUACUUUAAUACCAUUUUUCCUUACUUUGUAUAUGUAUAUAUUUUAUACAUGUAUGUAUUUUAUUUGUGUGUGUGUGUAUGUGUAUUUCUCUUAUAUAUAUGUGUAUGUAUAUAUAUAUAUCAGAUAUAUAUAUAUAGGAUAAAGUCACCCACAACCCGCUGCCCUGGACAAACACUAAAAUAUUUUGGUGUAUUCAAUGCGUGUGUGCAGGUACAUACAUCUAUUUUAUCCAUUUCUAGUUUUUCU